CGGGGUAUAGCUCAGCUUGGCUAGAGCGCACGAUUCGGGUUCGUGAGGCCGCAGGUUCGAAUCCUGCUACCCCGACCA
Molecule: transfer RNA, 78 nt
Filed under: Candidatus Nomurabacteria bacterium
Lineage: Bacteria; Candidatus Nomuraibacteriota
Also listed under: 1 other name
Description: tRNA-Pro
Rfam family: tRNA
About the family: Transfer RNA (tRNA) molecules are approximately 80 nucleotides in length. Their secondary structure includes four short double-helical elements and three loops (D, anti-codon, and T loops).
Source: RNAcentral